This is a long non-coding RNA of Sciurus carolinensis (gray squirrel), 552 nucleotides long. RefSeq lists it as uncharacterized. The record is from RefSeq and is a predicted model, not a curated record. The transcript has 3 exons. Lineage: Eukaryota; Metazoa; Chordata; Mammalia; Rodentia; Sciuridae.
GUGACACCCCUCAGCGGCUAGCAGAGGCAGCCAUGAGCACACUGGUCUUGCUGCCACUGGGAGCAGAGCUUGUGAAGUUCUGAAGUCUCGGUGCUUCGAGGGUGUGAAACGGAACAGAUGCUGCCCCGCGAUCCCGCCUGGUGGACCACAGGAACCUAGGACUCAGGCAGAGAAUAUUCAUCGAGAAUGCACAACUGCUCCGGGGUCACAGGCUUCCUCCUCUUGGGAUUCCCUGGACUGUGGAGCCCUCAGGUCCUGCAAGCUGGGGCUCCCCCUGCAGCCUACCUGGCUGCCCUCAUGGGGACUGGCCUCACCAUCACCAUCCCCUCUGGACCCAGGCCUCCACACACCCAUGCUUCUUCCUAAGGAAACUGUCCCUCUUUGAGAUUGGCCUCAUUUCUGCUGUGGUGCCCAAAGCUCUAGCCAACUCCGUCACCCACUGCCGCUCCAUCUCGUCCCUCGCCUGUGGGGCCCAGGUCUUUCUGGUACCUUUCUCUGCAGUUGCAGAGCUGAGCCUCCUCCCAGGGAUGUCCAUGGACCGCUAGGCCACCA